CGCCGGCAGCUCUAGUGGUGGCCAGUUUUUAUUGGGCCUAAAGCGUUCGUAGCCGGUUUAUUAAGUCUCUGGUGAAAUCCCGUAGCUUAACUAUGGGAAUUGCUGGAGAUACUAGUAGACUUGAGGUCGGGAGAGGUUCAGAGGUACUCCCAGGGUAGGGGUGAAAUCCUGUAAUCCUGGGAGGACCACCUGUGGCGAAGGCGUCUAACUGGAACGAACCUGACGGUGAGGGACGAAAGCUAGGGGCGCGAACCGGAUUAGAUACCCGGGUAGUCCUAGCCGUAAACGGAUGCGGACUUGGUGUUAGGAUGGCUUGAGCCGCUCUAGUGCCGAA
RNAcentral lists this ribosomal RNA (334 nucleotides) under uncultured Methanobrevibacter sp. RNAcentral describes it as "bacterial SSU rRNA". It matches the Rfam family "Archaeal small subunit ribosomal RNA", at positions 474 to 805 of the family's 1478-position model. The record is from RNAcentral. Lineage: Archaea; Methanobacteriati; Methanobacteriota; Methanobacteria; Methanobacteriales; Methanobacteriaceae.